This 287-nucleotide RNase P RNA is filed under the name Pseudomonas sp. RNAcentral describes it as "partial RNase P RNA component class A". It matches the Rfam family "Bacterial RNase P class A", at positions 1 to 288 of the family's 367-position model. From Rfam's summary of the family: Ribonuclease P (RNase P) is a ubiquitous endoribonuclease, found in archaea, bacteria and eukarya as well as chloroplasts and mitochondria. Its best characterised activity is the generation of mature 5'-ends of tRNAs by cleaving the 5'-leader elements of precursor-tRNAs. Cellular RNase Ps are ribonucleoproteins. Lineage: Bacteria; Pseudomonadati; Pseudomonadota; Gammaproteobacteria; Pseudomonadales; Pseudomonadaceae. The record is from RNAcentral.
AGAGUCGAUUGGACAGUCGCUGCCCUCUAUGAGAAUUAGGGGGGGGAGGAAAGUCCGGGCUCCAUAGGGCGAAGUGCCAGGUAAUGCCUGGGAGGCGUGAGCCUACGGAAAGUGCCACAGAAAAUAACCGCCUAAGCACUUCGGUGCCGGUAAGGGUGAAAAGGUGCGGUAAGAGCGCACCGCACGACUGGCAACAGUUCGUGGCUAGGUAAACCCCACUUGGAGCAAGACCAAAUAGGGUCCCAAGGCGUGGCCCGCGCUGGGACCGGGUAGGUUGCUAAAGAUGU